Mauremys reevesii (Reeves's turtle) is the source of this 396-nucleotide long non-coding RNA. RefSeq lists it as uncharacterized. The transcript is spliced from 3 exons. NCBI's taxonomy places the organism in Eukaryota, Metazoa, Chordata, Testudines, Geoemydidae. The record is from RefSeq and is a predicted model, not a curated record.
GAAUCACACAUGGUACAAACAGCAGAGUUGGAGGUCCAUAUGCAUUUUCCUCUUCAUUUUGCCCAUGUAUCUCACUCAUACAACAUUAGUGAAGCUUUUAAAGUUAUUUACUUCCUGCCUUCAAGACAUGGCUGAAAUUAUCCAUGCUGGAUGUCUGCCUGAUUCACUAUAUAUCUUCCAACUUUGGCAAAAAAUGAGGCAUGGAUCCUACAGACAACAACCUCCUUCACUGCACAACCCUGAUUCAUCCCCAGAGCCCCACCCAUCCUCUGGGCUGAAUGAGGCAGGGAAAGAUAGGUUGUGCCUUUGUCUCAGUGUUCGAGUUAGCAAAAUGUCCAUGGAAAUGAAUUGAAUUGAAGAGUAUCUGCAUAGUAUAUCCUUUGCAAUAGACAAGAG